AUUGAACGUUGGCGGCAGGCUUAACACAUGCAAGUCGAGCGGGGUGAUGGUGCUUGCACUAUCACUUAGCGGCGGACGGGUGAGUAAUGCUUAGGAAUCUGCCUAUUAGUGGGGGACAACAUCUCGAAAGGGAUGCUAAUACCGCAUACGUCCUACGGGAGAAAGCAGGGGAUCACUUGUGACCUUGCGCUAAUAGAUGAGCCUAAGGCGGAUUAGCUAGUUGGUGGGGUAAAGGCCUACCAAGGCGACGAUCUGUAGCGGGUCUGAGAGGAUGAUCCGCCACACUGGGACUGAGACACGGCCCAGACUCCUACGGGAGGCAGCAGUGGGGAAUAUUGGACGAUGGGGGGAACCCUAAUCCAGCCAUGCCGCGUGUGUGAAGAAGGCCUUAUGGUUGUAAAGCACUUUAAGCGAGGAGGAGGCUCUUUUGGUUAAUACCCAAGAUGAGUGGACGUUACUCGCAGAAUAAGCACCGGCUAACUCUGUGCCAGCAGCCGCAGUAA
RNAcentral lists this ribosomal RNA (503 nucleotides) under uncultured bacterium. RNAcentral's name for it is "partial 16S ribosomal RNA". It matches the Rfam family "Bacterial small subunit ribosomal RNA", at positions 30 to 523 of the family's 1533-position model. The record is from RNAcentral.